This 1807-nucleotide long non-coding RNA is filed under the name Musa acuminata (dwarf banana). Its description in RNAcentral is "long non-coding RNA (MACU_LNC005133)". Lineage: Eukaryota; Viridiplantae; Streptophyta; Magnoliopsida; Zingiberales; Musaceae. The record is from RNAcentral.
UUUUCCCCUCUCUCUUUCUACCAAUCUUUCUCUAAGAAAGCCAAUCUUUCUCUGAGAGCUGAGAUGGUUGGGGGAGAUGAGAUGGCCCCUGUCAAGCUGCUCGUCGGCGUGCUCUGCCUCGUCUUCUUGCUGUUCUCGGCUGCUGUUCCGGUGCUCGGGGUGAAUGAGGAGGAGCAAGAGGCGAUGGAGGGGAGCAGUGUGAGCUUGGCGGUGGACCCGAGCUUCCAGUUCCAGAACUCGAGGCUGAGAGACGCCUACAUUGCGCUGCAGACAUGGAAGCGCACCGCCAUCUUCUCCGACCCGCAGAACCUGACGGGCAACUGGGUCGGCCCCGAGGUGUGUUCCUACUUCGGCGUCUACUGUGCCGCUUCUCCGGACGACCCCUACCUCACCGUCGUUGCUGGCAUCGACCUGAACCAUGCCGACCUCGCCGGGUACCUCCCGCGGGAGCUCGGCCUCCUCACCGACCUCGCCCUCUUCCACCUCAACUCCAACCGCUUCUGCGGCACUGUGCCCCCCACCUUCCGCCGCCUCCGCCUGCUCUACGAGUUGGACCUCAGCAACAACCGCUUCGUCGGCAAGUUCCCGGAGGUGGUGCUCCACCUGCCGGCCCUCCGCUACCUCGACCUCCGCUUCAACGACUUCGAGGGGCCCAUCCCGCCGGCGCUCUUCGAGCGGCCCCUCGAUGCCAUCUUCCUCAACUCCAACCGCCUCCGCGCCGGCAUCCCCGCCACCCUCGGCCACUCUCCGGUGUCCGUCCUCGUGCUCGCCAACAACGACCUCGGCGGGUGCAUCCCCUCCUCCAUUGGUGGCAUGGCCAACACGCUCAACGAGAUCAUCCUCCUCAACGACAACCUCACCGGCUGCAUCCCGACCGAGGUCGGGCUGCUCCGCCGCGUCACCGUUUUCGACGUCAGCUUCAACCGCCUUCAGGGCCCGCUGCCGGAGUCCAUCGCCGGCAUGGUGAGCGUCGAGCAGCUCGACGUUGCGCACAACCGCCUUACGGGGCGCAUCCCCCCGGGCGUAUGCGACCUCCCCAGGCUCCAGAACUUCACCUACUCAUACAACUUCUUCACCGGCCAGCCGCCGUCCUGCGGCCGCGGCGGAAGGUCGGCGGUGUUCGACGGCAAGGCGAACUGUAUCCCCGGCCAGCCGGACCAGCGGUCCCCCAAGCAGUGCUCCUCCGCGGUGGCCCAACCCUUCGAUUGCCGCAAGUCCAAGUGCUGGAGUGGCGGCGUGCCAUCCCCUUACCUCAAGCCACCGUCCCCGCGGCCGACUGCUCCUAGGAGAUGGCCUGUAUACAGUCCGCCGUCUCCGGUGGGGAACAAGCCCGGAAGGCACUACAAGCCAGCACCUCGUACGCCGCCGCCGCCGCCGCAGUACGAAUCAUCGCCUUCGACGAGAUCUCACCCACCGCCGCCGUCAUACUCGCCGAAGCAAUCGCCGCCGCCGUCCUCUUCGGGCUACCAUGCUUCCUCACCGCCACCUGCCCCUCCUGCGCACGACUAUGAACCAGCAAAACCUCCCCACAGCCCAUUGCCACCCACAUUGGUCUCACCUCCUCCAACGCAUCACUAUCAAACGCCUACUCCUCCUGCUCCUGUUCAGCCUCCGACAUAUACCAACCCUCCGUAUCAUACUUCACCACCAUCGCCGUUGUCACCUACAGAGUCGCCUCCGCCGCCGCCCCUCAAGUCACCAUCGCCACUGCCGACACCAGUGCCUGCCUCCCCGCCGCCGUCGCAAAAGCCAUGGCAAGCUCCACCACCACCGGUACACUCCUCACCGCAGCCAUCACCCAAGUAUG